UCAGGACGAACGCUGGCGGCGUGCCUAAUACAUGCAAGUCGAACGGUCUUUCUAUGGAAGCUUGCUUCCACUGAGAAGAUAGUGGCGAACGGGUGAGUAACACGUGGGUAACCUGCCCAUAAGAGGGGGAUAACAUCCGGAAACGGGUGCUAAUACCGCAUAGUUUUCUUGAUCGCAUGAUCGGGAAAGGAAAGACGGCCUUUGUGCUGUCGCUUAUGGAUGGACCCGCGGCGUAUUAGUUAGUUGGUGAGGUAACGGCUCACCAAGACGAUGAUACGUAGCCGACCUGAGAGGGUGAUCGGCCACAUUGGGACUGAGACACGGCCCAAACUCCUACGGGAGGCAGCAGUAGGGAAUCUUCCGCAAUGGACGAAAGUCUGACGGAGCAACGCCGCGUGAGUGAAAGAAGGUUUUCGGAUCGUAAAACUCUGUUGUCAGAGAAGAACAAGUUGGAGGGUAACUGCUCCAGCCUUGACGGUAUCUGACCAGAAAGCCACGGCUAACUACGUGCCAGCAGCCGC
Molecule: ribosomal RNA, 521 nt
Filed under: uncultured bacterium
Lineage: Bacteria
Description: bacterial SSU rRNA
Rfam family: Bacterial small subunit ribosomal RNA
Source: RNAcentral